AGCAAGCUGCCAUGCUGUGAAUAACCCUGUGGAAAGACCUGCAAAGAACUGGGGUCUCUGGCCAAUAGCGAGUUUGGCUCUGAGGCCCGCCAACAGCCACAUGAAUGAUCUUGGAAGCAGUGUCCUCUACGAAGCCUUGAGAGGACUGCAGCCCUGGCCAACUCCUUGAUUUCAGUCUCUCUUGUAAGAAAUCCUGGAUUUUCUUUAGGCUUAUGAAGAGUCUCAGGCACCCAGACUAACUGCAACUGCAUCCUGAUUCCUGAAAGACAGUCUUGAAAUGCCUGUCUGCUGCUUUAAUCCACUAUGUUUUGGAGAUUGUUACACAGCAGUACAUAGCUAAUACACUGAGUAUUUGUAAUACAAGAUAUUUGUAAUACAAGAUAUCCUGAAAGACAGUCUUGAAAUGCCUGUCUGCUGCUUUAAUCCACUAUGUUUUGGGGGUUGUUACACAGCAGUAGAUAGCUAAUACACUGAGUAUUUGUAAUACAAGAUAUUUGGCUUUAUGUAAGACUCUGGCUUCAAGAGUGUUUGCAUUCUUUGAAAGCUUUGUUCAUACGUGAAGGAAAAAUCAGUGACUCCGACCCAGGAAAUCUUUCUCUGAGCCUCCCAGCUCCACGGCUGAUCGACAGAGCGUCUCUGGGUUAACCACCUUCAGUUUCCUCACCUUUAAAAAAGGGAGUCGGUUGUCAGAGGACAUCCUGGCCUGUGAAGAUGAGCACUUCCUCCCGGGAAUCGGGUGGAGCCAAGGUGGAGGUCCUUCCUGGUGUUACUCCUCUAACUGAAGCCUGUCUUCUGUUCAGUAGACAAAGAAAGUACCUCAUGACUUCCUGCAUCCUAUUCUCCGGGGUGUCAUCCUUAGAUGAGAUCUUGCUAUGCUGCCCAGGGUGGUCUUGA
This is a non-coding RNA of Macaca mulatta (Rhesus monkey), 894 nucleotides long. Lineage: Eukaryota; Metazoa; Chordata; Mammalia; Primates; Cercopithecidae. The record is from RefSeq and is a predicted model, not a curated record.